CGCCAGACUCCUACGGGAGGCAGCAGUGGGGGAUAUUGCACAAUGGGGGAAACCCUGAUGCAGCGACGCCGCGUGAGUGAAGAAGUAAUUCGUUACGUAAAGCUCUAUCAGCAGGGAAGAAAAUGACGGUACCUGACUAAGAAGCCCCGGCUAACUACGUGCCAGCAGCCGCGGUAAUACGUAGGGGGCAAGCGUUAUCCGGAUUUACUGGGUGUAAAGGGAGCGUAGACGGCAAUGCAAGCCAGAUGUGAAAGCCCGGGGCUCAACCCCGGGACUGCAUUUGGAACUGUGUAGCUGGAGUGUCGGAGAGGCAGGCGGAAUUCCUAGUGUAGCGGUGAAAUGCGUAGAUAUUAGGAGGAACACCAGUGGCGAAGGCGGCCUGCUGGACGAUGACUGACGUUGAGGCUCGAAAGCGUGGGGAGCAAACAGGAUUAGAUACCCCUGUA
RNAcentral lists this ribosomal RNA (446 nucleotides) under uncultured bacterium. Its description in RNAcentral is "partial 16S ribosomal RNA". It matches the Rfam family "Bacterial small subunit ribosomal RNA", at positions 329 to 792 of the family's 1533-position model. The record is from RNAcentral.